UAAAAUCCUAAAUGCCUUUUUAUUAUUAAGGAAAAUGUAUGACCACUUCUUUUGAAUAAAUAUGCAUAUACACAUUAUUUUGAAUGAACAUACAAACAAACAAACUAGAAAGAAGAAAACAAAGAGAAAAGUACAAAUUUUCAAACUUCAUAGAAAUGCUGAAUGUGUACAUGAAACCAUAAGUAAACAUACUUGCCUCUACUGUGUACUGGCUUAAAAUGUAAUGUUUCAAUAGAACAUUUGAAACAUAUUUAUAUGGUAGAUAUUACAUGUGGAGUGAUCAAAAAUGUGUGCUACACUAGCACAAUAAACUAAAACAAGAGAAAGUGCAUUAAACAAAAAAAAGAAUUAAAGCAAGCAGCAUAUGGAUGGAUCAUUAAAGUGUCAAACAAUUGUAAAAUUAAAUACAUGAUAUGUUUAAAAUAUAAAAUUUGAUGGGGGAAAAAAAAUAAAAAAGAGAAAAAAUAAAAUUCCUACUGAUCCCAGUACCAUGAGUACUUAUAAAUAAAGACAGUGUGAGAUUGGUGUGAAAUGCAAUGCAACAAAUAUAGUAAAAAACAAUUCUAAAGCUAAAUGUAUGGUAUGUUUCCUAUAUAUAUUAUGGUUGUAACAGAGCACAGUAAGUCAUCAUUUAGGAGGAUGCAUAAUGACAUUUUAAAAACAGUUAAAAGUUUGCUUGAAUGGAAAUGCAGAAAAAAAAAAUAAAUAAAAAAAAAAAUGCUGAAGGAUUGUUUUUUGUCCCUUUCUUACUUAUGUAGGGAGCGUCCACUUGUGGCCUUCAGCUCCAAUUUUGUGCCUGUUGAAAGCCUGCAAAAGAAUGAUGGGAACUGUAGUACAAUAUCUGGGGGGGCAGUUCUAUACCUUUGUUCUUUGCAAUCUAUUAGGAAAUAUGUUGACGCAUAUGUGCUCCUCAUUAUUUGCCCCCACCAGUGCAGAUAUUCAACCCCUUAGGUCCAAACUUCUGGAAUAAAAGUGAAUCAUAACAUGUCACACAUGUCAUGUGUCCUUAAAGGGAAACUCCAGUGCCAGGAAAACAAUCUCCUCCUCCUCCUCACCUCUUCAUUGGGAUGACGUUGUUAUGGGGCCCAAAGUGUUACUUUAACUCCUUAAAGGGACACUCCAGGCACCCAGACCACUUCUGCCCAUUGGAGUGGUCUGGGUGUCAACUGCAUCCAGUCCAAAGCUUCCUCAAAAAGCUUAGGACUGAUGUGGGGUAUGAAGGGCUGAGCUAACACAUGCCAUUUGAAAUAUUUUGGACAAAUUGUUUAACCCCUCUAAGAAAGACACCAUUGAGAUGUAAUUAUGGUGGUUGGAGUGCUCUUUUAACACAGUGAAUAAGUAAGUACACUACCUUUUGUACAUUCUAUUUUGAAUGCCUUAGUAGAGAAUAUUUAUUAAUGAG
Molecule: non-coding RNA, 1402 nt
Organism: Pelobates cultripes (western spadefoot toad)
Lineage: Eukaryota; Metazoa; Chordata; Amphibia; Anura; Pelobatidae
Source: the annotation of a GenBank genome assembly